CUGCCCAACACCCAGUUCAUGCAAGCAUUGAAGAGAGUAGGAGCAAGAACACACCCCUGAUGAACCCCAGAAUUCAUUGGGUAGAACACAGAGGUUCUGCUUGCGUGGUGCACAGCACUCACAGUUCUGCUGCACAAGCCAGCCAUAACAUCUAGCAAAUUUGGGGGGAUUCUGCAAAGUCUCAUGAUGUCCCAGCAGACAACUAAGUCAAACAUUUUAUGAACUUUGACAAAGACUACAAGGAAACCCUGCCUUUACUUCUGUUUGUGCUUGAUGAGAACCCUCAGUGCUAGCAUGGGCUCAAUGAUAGACUUCUUAUGGUCAAUUCAUACUUCCAUGUGCGCAUGUAGCCCACAUUUUUAUGUCUAGCGGAAACCUUGCAUUGAUUGCGCAUGUGCAAGAUAAUAAACGAAGUAGAUCCAGUAGAUGGCAGCGCCAGAUUCACAGAUCUGCAUUUAACGAAGACAGAGAUCUGGUUGUUAUGGAUGCUUUCGAUGAGCAGCUAUGUGAGGAGGUGCAGAAAUACCCGCAUAUAUAAUACAUCUUUGAAGGAACACAAAGACGUCUUUAGUUGUUCUAAUUAAUGGGAAGUAAUUGCCAAAACAUUAGGCAAAGAACUGAAUUAGUGCAGGCAAAGAUGGAAAUAUCAGCGAGACUGAAUGCAAAACAAGAGAUGGUUGGAAGGAGUGGCAAGGAGGAUGGAAGCAAAGGAAGCCCAUCAAUCCUGACUUCGCUAAGCUGGCUUUCAGGUUUCAUCAAGCUCAAAGGGAUGGAUUCCAACUUGGAAAGUGAUGAGACAGAACAGCCCAUUAGUGAAGAGGUCAUGCUGACUUCAGAGUGCGUCACCCCCGGACCAUCUGACGCUGCUGUGGAGCAACGGCCAUAUUCAGGAAACCUGAGCCAGCCCCCCCGUAGACCCCACCAUCACCCAUGAUUGUACUACAAUCUAGGUUCUAGAAAGCGGAAGGAACCUUCAGCAUCAAUGACUGAACUAGUGUUAUCCCGCCUGCAGAAGCAUGACCAAGAGGAAGGAAGUGAUGACUUCUCCUUCAGACAAUAUGCACCCGGACACUUACUGUAAAAGACUGGGGCCCCCAGACCUAGAACGUGUGCAAAGCUGGGUCUUGCACAGGUGCUGUACAAGUGGGACAUGGGCUACCAACUAAAUCAGAAGUUAUAUACCCACAUACUGUAUAAAUCCAUGGGAAAAAAUUAAGAUACCACUCAAUAUUUUUAAAUAAAUCUGCCUUUUUAAAUCCUGGUUUAAUCAUGGUUCUGCUGGCAGAAGCCUACGCUGAGCGGCAGGAUGCUUCAAGGUUCAAAGUUUCUAACACAGCAGGACAGAAGAAUAAGGUGAAGCAGGAGACACUGGGAACGACCAGAAACUAGCCAGGUAAAAGGCAAAAGCGACUUUCUAAUGCCAGAGGUGACUGUUAACUUAUCCAAUAGUUUCUCGUGAAUUAUAGGAUGGUAUCAAGUGACCUUCAAAAGGAAUGGGAAACAUCAAGUGCAGGUGUGAAGUGCACUGGUAGGACAGUUUGUAUCAGGCUCCUAGAAACAGGAUUGAAGUCCCAUAAAGCAAAGAAGAAACCCUUCAUUAAUGAGGAACAGGGAAGAUCCAUGGUGCAGUUUGCAAAAAAUAUGUAUAUUAUUCACAGAUGGACACCCUAAAAUUGAAAAAUGAGUGAAACAAAAAAAUUGUGCUGUAAUAUAAAUUUUUUCCAGGGCUGUAUAUAUGUGUGUGUGUGUGUAUGCGCUUUUGCAAUGAAUAAAGACACAUAAACAUA
This is a long non-coding RNA of Brienomyrus brachyistius, 1787 nucleotides long. RefSeq lists it as uncharacterized. The record is from RefSeq and is a predicted model, not a curated record. Lineage: Eukaryota; Metazoa; Chordata; Actinopteri; Osteoglossiformes; Mormyridae. The transcript has 2 exons.